This 296-nucleotide long non-coding RNA is filed under the name Salmo salar (Atlantic salmon). RNAcentral's name for it is "lncRNA (ENSSSAG00000107201.1)". Lineage: Eukaryota; Metazoa; Chordata; Actinopteri; Salmoniformes; Salmonidae. The record is from RNAcentral.
GUUACUGAGAUAUUACAGGGUUUUAGUAGUUAUUGAGAUAUUACAGGUCAGGGUUUUAGUAGUUAUUGAUAUAUUACUGGGUUUUAGUAGUUAUUGAGAUACUACAGGGUUUUAGUAGUUAUUGAGAUAUUACAGGGUUUUAGUAGUUAUUGAGAUAGUACAGUGUUUUAGUAGUUAUUGAGAUAUUACAGGGUUUUAGUAGUUAUUGAGAUAUUACAGGGUUUUAGUAGUUAUUGAGAUAUUACAGGGUUUUAGUAGUUAAUGAGAUAUUACAGGGUUUUAGUAGUUAAUGAGAU